This 463-nucleotide ribosomal RNA is filed under the name uncultured bacterium. Its description in RNAcentral is "bacterial SSU rRNA". It matches the Rfam family "Bacterial small subunit ribosomal RNA", at positions 917 to 1382 of the family's 1533-position model. The record is from RNAcentral.
GGGCCCGCACAAGCGGCGGAGCAUGCGGCUUAAUUCGAUGCAACGCGAAGAACCUUACCUGGGCUUGACAUGCAGGGCAAAGCCGGUGAAAGCCGGCGCUCUACGGAGCCUGCACAGGUGGUGCAUGGCUGUCGUCAGCUCGUGCCGUGAGGUGUUGCCUUAAGUGGCGCAACGAGCGCAACCCUUGUCCCUAGUUGCCAGCGGGUCAUGCCGGGAACUCUAGGGAGACUGCCGGUGCCAAACCGGAGGAAGGUGGGGAUGACGUCAAGUCAUCAUGCCCCUUAUGUCCAGGGCUGCACGCAUGCUACAAUGCGCGGUACAAAGGGCUGCAAACCCGCAAGGGGGAGCGAAUCCCAAAAAGCCGCGCUCAGUUCGGAUCGGGGUCUGCAACCCGACCCCGUGAAGUCGGAGUCGCUAGUAAUCGCAGAUCAGCAAUGCUGCGGUGAAUACGUUCCCGGGCCUU